UCAGAUUGCAGGCUGCAACCCGCCUGCAUGAAGUCGGAAUUGCUGUAAUCGCGGAUCAGCAUGCCGCGGUGAAUACGUUCCCGGGCCUUGUACACACCGCCCGUCACACCAUGAGAGCCGGUAAUACCCGAAGUCCGCAGCCUAACCGCAAGGGGGCGCGGCCGAAGGUAGGACUGGUAAUUAGGGUGAAGUCGUAACAAGGUACC
RNAcentral lists this ribosomal RNA (206 nucleotides) under uncultured bacterium. RNAcentral's name for it is "partial 16S ribosomal RNA". It matches the Rfam family "Bacterial small subunit ribosomal RNA", at positions 1293 to 1500 of the family's 1533-position model. The record is from RNAcentral.